Molecule: long non-coding RNA, 1056 nt
Organism: Leopardus geoffroyi (Geoffroy's cat)
Lineage: Eukaryota; Metazoa; Chordata; Mammalia; Carnivora; Felidae
Exons: 2
Source: RefSeq, a predicted model, not a curated record
ACCUGAGCCAAAGUCAGAUGCUUAACUGACUGAGCCACUCAGGUGCCCCCGACACUGGUUAUUUUCUGGUUUUUUGUUUUGUUUUGUUUGUUUGUUUGGAUAGUAGUAAUUCCUAAUCUCCUAGGUGUUUGUACCUACUACCCACCCCCCACCUGGCCCCGACACUCUGCCUCAAGUCACUUGUGUCCUCUGGCUGAGAGGGUCACAUCCUCUGGCACAGACAAUCAUUUCGGCGUCCCCUUCAGUGACCAGCACACUUGUCAUGUUGAAUGAUCCCUGGUUUCCAGAAGAUUACACUCUGCAGGGGGAAGUAAAAAAUUUACAUAUUCUGGAAAGACCAAGUUGGGCGUGGCUGGGACUACCUUAGGGCCACCGACAGGGAGUGGCCACAGUAGGCUCCCUCCUUCUGGUCUCUACAUUUCUUCACCACUCUCGGCGAUAAAUAGACUUCUUAGAAGGUCGGCACAAGGUCUGACGCACCCCACUGCCCCAGCCUGGGUUCCGGGGAACUCCUUCCUGCCCCCCUGUCUCAGGGUCUCUGAACACCCAGGUCUCCUGAGCACACGCUCUGUGCCAUCCUGGCUUUCAAGGCCCAGCUCAGGCACCUCACCAGCACCCUUUCCCCAGCCAGAAGCCCUCACACUGUCCCUCCAGCUCCCACGGGCCCGUCCAAGCUUUCUGCUGGGGCACAGGGAGAAGAGCAUGGGACAGAAAUCUGAAGAUCUGAGUCUGAUCCUGGCUGUGUCUCCAGCUGGCUUUUUGUCGUGGCUGACAAAUUCCUCCUCGAAGAGCCAACCCAAAUGCUGUCUCCUCUGACAGCUCUGAGAGCCUCUCGCUCUCCUCUGCGAGCCGGCCUUCCCCUGAACCCCAGCGACUCCGGGGUGCUAUCUCGAUGAUCCCAGAAUCAACAGCAUUUUGUCUCCUCCGCCAGACUGUGGGUCCCGAGGAGCACAUCACCUCCUCCUCAUCGCUGACACCCCAGUGCACCUGCCAGCUGUUUGCAGACAAGAGAAGGUGAAGUCAGUGGGAUUAAACACAAGGAGAGCAUUGUGCGGA